Molecule: small RNA, 254 nt
Filed under: Arabidopsis thaliana (thale cress)
Lineage: Eukaryota; Viridiplantae; Streptophyta; Magnoliopsida; Brassicales; Brassicaceae
Description: ATSL041170
Source: RNAcentral
UAAACGCUAAUAAAAGUCUGUUAUUACUUGAGGGCUAGCAAAUAAAUCUCAUGUAACAAAAAAUUUCGAAAUUUUAAAAGCAAAUCUGCCAACAAAAAAUCUGUUAUUACUAAAAAGGUUAUUCUAGUCAUAAACAAAUCGGCCAUAACAUUGACAUGAGUAAAUCUGUUAUGCUUUGACACUGAAAAACAAAACAGUCAUCACUAAACACAAAUCUGUUAUCACUAUAUGACUGUCUAGUAAUUUUAUUUUUU